GAGGAACGCGGGCGGCGGGCCGAAGACAGGCAAGUCGAGCGAACAGACGAGGAGCUUGCUCCUCUGACGUUAGCGGCGGACGGGUGAGUAACACGUGGAUAACCUACCUAUAAGACUGGGAUAACUUCGGGAAACCGGAGCUAAUACCGGAUAAUAUAUUGAACCGCAUGGUUCAAUAGUGAAAGACGGUUUUGCUGUCACUUAUAGAUGGAUCCGCGCCGCAUUAGCUAGUUGGUAAGGUAACGGCUUACCAAGGCAACGAUGCGUAGCCGACCUGAGAGGGUGCUCGGCCACACUGGAACUGAGACACGGUCCAGACUCCUACGGGAGGCAGCAGUAGGGAAUCUUCCGCAAUGGGCGAAAGCCUGACGGAGCAACGCCGCGUGAGUGAUGAAGGUCUUCGGAUCGUAACCCUCUGUUAUUAGGGAAGAACAAAUGUGUAAGUAACUAUGCACGUCUUGACGGUACCUAAUCAUAAAGCCACAACUCACUACGUU
Molecule: ribosomal RNA, 497 nt
Filed under: uncultured bacterium
Lineage: Bacteria
Description: partial 16S ribosomal RNA
Rfam family: Bacterial small subunit ribosomal RNA
Source: RNAcentral